GGCAACUUGGCCGAGCGGUCUAAGGCGCUAGAAUCAGGUGUUGAAUCUAGUCCUUCGGGGCGUGAGUUCGAAUCUCACAGUUGUCA
This is a transfer RNA of Stereum hirsutum FP-91666 SS1, 86 nucleotides long. It matches the Rfam family "tRNA". From Rfam's summary of the family: Transfer RNA (tRNA) molecules are approximately 80 nucleotides in length. Their secondary structure includes four short double-helical elements and three loops (D, anti-codon, and T loops). Further hydrogen bonds mediate the characteristic L-shaped molecular structure. tRNAs have two regions of fundamental functional importance: the anti-codon, which is responsible for specific mRNA codon recognition, and the 3' end, to which the tRNAs corresponding amino acid is attached (by aminoacyl-tRNA synthetases). tRNAs cope with the degeneracy of the genetic code in two manners: having more than one tRNA (with a specific anti-codon) for a particular amino acid; and 'wobble' base-pairing, i.e. permitting non-standard base-pairing at the 3rd anti-codon position. The record is from Rfam. NCBI's taxonomy places the organism in Eukaryota, Fungi, Basidiomycota, Agaricomycetes, Russulales, Stereaceae.